Molecule: ribosomal RNA, 701 nt
Filed under: uncultured Alcaligenaceae bacterium
Lineage: Bacteria; Pseudomonadati; Pseudomonadota; Betaproteobacteria; Burkholderiales; Alcaligenaceae
Description: bacterial SSU rRNA
Rfam family: Bacterial small subunit ribosomal RNA
Source: RNAcentral
AUUGAACGCUAGCGGGAUGCUUUACACAUGCAAGUCGAACGGCAGCGCGAGGAAGCUUGCUUUCUUGGCGGCGAGUGGCGAACGGGUGAGUAAUGUAUCGGAACGUGCCCAGUAGCGGGGGAUAACUACGCGAAAGCGUGGCUAAUACCGCAUACGCCCUACGGGGGAAAGGGGGGGAUUCUUCGGAACCUCUCACUAUUGGAGCGGCCGAUAUCGGAUUAGCUAGUUGGUGGGGUAAAGGCCUACCAAGGCGACGAUCCGUAGCUGGUUUGAGAGGACGACCAGCCACACUGGGACUGAGACACGGCCCAGACUCCUACGGGAGGCAGCAGUGGGGAAUUUUGGACAAUGGGGGCAACCCUGAUCCAGCCAUCCCGCGUGUGCGAUGAAGGCCUUCGGGUUGUAAAGCACUUUUGGCAGGGAAGAAACAGGUCUGGCGAAUAACUGGACUGAAUGACGGUACCUGCAGAAUAAGCACCGGCUAACUACGUGCCAGCAGCCGCGGUAAUACGUAGGGUGCAAGCGUUAAUCGGAAUUACUGGGCGUAAAGCGUGCGCAGGCGGUUCGGAAAGAAGGAUGUGAAAUCCCAGGGCUUAACCUUGGAAUGGCAUUCUUAACUGCCGGGCUAGAGUAUGUCAGAGGGGGGUAGAAUUCCACGUGUAGCAGUGAAAUGCGUAGAGAUGUGGAGGAAUACCGAUGGC